RNAcentral lists this signal recognition particle RNA (304 nucleotides) under Rhinopithecus roxellana (golden snub-nosed monkey). Its description in RNAcentral is "Metazoan signal recognition particle RNA (ENSRROG00000004773.1)". It matches the Rfam family "Metazoan signal recognition particle RNA". From Rfam's summary of the family: The signal recognition particle (SRP) is a universally conserved ribonucleoprotein. It is involved in the co-translational targeting of proteins to membranes. Lineage: Eukaryota; Metazoa; Chordata; Mammalia; Primates; Cercopithecidae. The record is from RNAcentral.
GCUGGGCGUAGUGGUGCAUGCCUAUCUAUAGUCCUGGCUUCUUGGGAGGCUGAGGCUGGGGGAAUCACUUGAGCCCGGGAGUUCUGAGCUGUAGUGCGCUGUGCUCAUUGGGUGUCUGCACUAAGUUAGGCAUCAUGUGAUGAACUCCCAGGAGCGGGGGACCAGCGAAGCUUCCUAAGGAGAAGUGAACCGGUUCAGGUCAGAAACAGAGCAGGUUAAAACUCCCAUGCUGAUCAGUAGUGGAAUCACACAUGUGAAGAGCCCCAGCACUCCCACCUGGGCAACAAAGUGAGACCUUGUCUCU